CGCGCGCCCCGUCCUUGCGGGCGCGAAAGCGCCCCGCUCGGGCGAACACCCAACCCCGGCGCGGAAAGCGCCAAGGAAAACUUGAAACGAUUGCCCGACCCCCCAACGCCCCGUGCGCGGAGUGCGCGAGGGGGUGCGGCGGCAUCCGUCGUAACCAAAACGACUCUCGGCAACGGAUAUCUCGGCUCUCGCAUCGAUGAAGAACGUAGCGAAAUGCGAUACUUGGUGUGAAUUGCAGAAUCCCGCGAACCAUCGAGUCUUUGAACGCAAGUUGCGCCCGAAGCCAUUAGGCCGAGGGCACGUCUGCCUGGGCGUCACGCAUCGCGUCGCCGCCCCGCUCGUGCUGGGCGGCGGAUGUUGGCCCCCCGUGCCCGCAGGGUGCGGCCGGCCUAAAAGCGAGUCCUCGGCGAGGGCGUCACGACUAGUGGUGGUUGAAUUGCUCGACUCGAGUGCUCGUCGUGCCGUGCUCCCCCGCCGUGUCGCGGACUGCCUCGA
RNAcentral lists this unclassified non-coding RNA (495 nucleotides) under Pyrostria oligophlebia. RNAcentral describes it as "Canthium oligophlebium sequence contains ITS1, 5.8S rRNA gene and ITS2". The stretch from base 162 to 317 matches the Rfam family "5.8S ribosomal RNA". Lineage: Eukaryota; Viridiplantae; Streptophyta; Magnoliopsida; Gentianales; Rubiaceae. The record is from RNAcentral.